RNAcentral lists this unclassified non-coding RNA (216 nucleotides) under Hevea brasiliensis (rubber tree). The record is from RNAcentral. Lineage: Eukaryota; Viridiplantae; Streptophyta; Magnoliopsida; Malpighiales; Euphorbiaceae.
AGAAGAGGCGGCGGCGGCGGCCCUCGCCGGCGAUCAAGAAACCCUAAAAUCCUUACCGCAAAACCACGUCACCGAUGAUAAAUUAGAGAAGAAGCACAAGAAGCGGAAGCACAAAGACAAGGAAACCCCCGCCGUCGAAGAUCCCCAAACCCUAGAUUCGCCCUCAUCAAAGAAGAAGAAGAACCUCUCCGAGAUCGAGCUCCUCCCCUGUGACAA